RNAcentral lists this ribosomal RNA (1068 nucleotides) under Salmonella enterica subsp. enterica serovar Typhimurium. Its description in RNAcentral is "bacterial LSU rRNA". It matches the Rfam family "Bacterial large subunit ribosomal RNA", at positions 962 to 2012 of the family's 2925-position model. The record is from RNAcentral. Lineage: Bacteria; Pseudomonadati; Pseudomonadota; Gammaproteobacteria; Enterobacterales; Enterobacteriaceae.
CCGGAGAAUGUUAUCACGGGAGACACACGGCGGGUGCUAACGUCCGUCGUGAAGAGGGAAACAACCCAGACCGCCAGCUAAGGUCCCAAAGUCAUGGUUAAGUGGGAAACGAUGUGGGAAGGCCCAGACAGCCAGGAUGUUGGCUUAGAAGCAGCCAUCAUUUAAAGAAAGCGUAAUAGCUCACUGGUCGAGUCGGCCUGCGCGGAAGAUGUAACGGGGCUAAACCAUGCACCGAAGCUGCGGCAGCGACGCUGAUGCGUUGUUGGGUAGGGGAGCGUUCUGUAAGCCUGCGAAGGUGACCUGUGAGGGUUGCUGGAGGUAUCAGAAGUGCGAAUGCUGACAUAAGUAACGAUAAAGCGGGUGAAAAGCCCGCUCGCCGGAAGACCAAGGGUUCCUGUCCAACGUUAAUCGGGGCAGGGUGAGUCGACCCCUAAGGCGAGGCCGAAAGGCGUAGUCGAUGGGAAACGGGUUAAUAUUCCCGUACUUGGUGUUACUGCGAAGGGGGGACGGAGAAGGCUAUGUUGGCCGGGCGACGGUUGUCCCGGUUUAAGCGUGUAGGUGUGUGUUCCAGGUAAAUCCGGUUCACUUUAACACUGAGGCGUGACGACGAGGCACUACGGUGCUGAAGCAACAAAUGCCCUGCUUCCAGGAAAAGCCUCUAAGCAUCAGGUAACAUCAAAUCGUACCCCAAACCGACACAGGUGGUCAGGUAGAGAAUACCAAGGCGCUUGAGAGAACUCGGGUGAAGGAACUAGGCAAAAUGGUGCCGUAACUUCGGGAGAAGGCACGCUGACACGUAGGUGAAGUGAUUUACUCAUGGAGCUGAAGUCAGUCGAAGAUACCAGCUGGCUGCAACUGUUUAUUAAAAACACAGCACUGUGCAAACACGAAAGUGGACGUAUACGGUGUGACGCCUGCCCGGUGCCGGAAGGUUAAUUGAUGGGGUCAGCGCAAGCGAAGCUCCUGAUCGAAGCCCCGGUAAACGGCGGCCGUAACUAUAACGGUCCUAAGGUAGCGAAAUUCCUUGUCGGGUAAGUUCCGACCUGCACGAAUGGCGUAAUGAUGGCC